This 253-nucleotide ribosomal RNA is filed under the name uncultured bacterium. Its description in RNAcentral is "partial 16S ribosomal RNA". It matches the Rfam family "Bacterial small subunit ribosomal RNA", at positions 524 to 776 of the family's 1533-position model. The record is from RNAcentral.
UACGGGGGGGGCAAGCGUUGUUCGGAAUUACUGGGCGUAAAGGGCUCGUAGGCGGCCAACUAAGUCAGACGUGAAAUCCCUCGGCUUAACCGGGGAACUGCGUCUGAUACUGGAUGGCUUGAGUUUGGGAGAGGGAUGCGGAAUUCCAGGUGUAGCGGUGAAAUGCGUAGAUAUCUGGAGGAACACCGGUGGCGAAGGCGACAGCCUGGACCAACACUGACGCUGAGGAGCGAAAGCCAGGGGAGCAAACAGG